Molecule: ribosomal RNA, 481 nt
Filed under: Blastocystis sp.
Lineage: Eukaryota; Bigyra; Opalinata; Blastocystidae
Description: SSU rRNA
Rfam family: Eukaryotic small subunit ribosomal RNA
Source: RNAcentral
GGAGGUAGGGCAAUAAAUCACAAUGCGGGACUUGUAUUCUUGCAAUUGGAUUGAGAACAAGGUAAAAUUUUUAUGGAUAAGCCAUUGGAGGGCAAGUCUGGUGCCAGCAGCCGCGGUAAUUCCAGCUCCAAUAGCGUAUAUUAACGUUGUUGCAGUUAAAAAGCUCGUAGUUGAAGUGAGGGAGUGUGUGAGUAUGAGAGAGCUAGUCUCAAGUGCUCACAACCUCCCCCUUCCAAUGGGUGUAGUGGGGUAUUCAUUUACUUCAUUACUCCUUUGGUCGUUUACUGUGAGAAAAUUAGAGUGUUCAAAGCGGGCGUUUGUUUGAAUAGAUUAGCAUGGAAUAAUGAUUGAAGGCUUUCAUGUUCCAUUUGAUUGGUUUGUUCAUGGAAGCAAGGUUAAAAGGAACAGUUGGGGGUAUUCAUAUUCACUAAUUAGAGGUGAAAUUCUCGGAUUUAUGGAAGAUGAACAAUGGCGAAAGCAA